Molecule: ribosomal RNA, 1486 nt
Filed under: Sphaeroforma nootkatensis
Lineage: Eukaryota; Ichthyosporea; Ichthyophonida
Description: eukaryotic LSU rRNA
Rfam family: Eukaryotic large subunit ribosomal RNA
Source: RNAcentral
UUUUAAAGCCAYGUGGUUUCCACGUCGCGUUGUARAUUCAAGAAACGUUUUCUCUUACGRGUCUGAUUUAAGUCUGUUGGAAAGCAGCAUCAUAGAGGGUGAAAAUCCCGUCUUUGAUUGGAACGCUGUAAGUCUACGAUACGUUUUCGAAGAGUCAGGUUGUUUGGGAAUGCAGCCUAAAAUGGGUGGUAAAUUUCAUCUAAAGCUAAAUAUUGCCACGAGACCGAUAGCGAACAAGUACCGUGAGGGAAAGAUGAAAAGAACUUUGAAAAGAGAGUUAAAUAGUACGUGAAACUGUUAAAAGGGAAUCUUAUGAGGCUAGUAUUUGGACUUGUCAUAAUCAAUUAGUCGUAUUGCGGACUGGUGGGCUGGGGAGUGUUAAAACCUCGAGCUGCCAGUGUAAUUGACCGACUAGUGCACUUGUGAUUUGUUCAGGCCAGCAUCAGUUUGGAGUGGUGUAUAAGGGUAUUCGGAAGGUGAUUUGACCCCUUGUGGGUGGAAUGUUAUAGCCGUUUGCCACUGCAUGGCGCCAGACUGAGGAGUCGCGGAACGUGCCAUUUGGCUAGCUCCCUGGUGCAUAGGCGGCCCGAAAUGUAGUGUGACACAAGUCCGCUGCAACAGAGGGACGACUACGUGGUAGGUGCAGUAUAAACGUUUUGAGGAUGUUGGUGAAAUGGCCUUAUCAGUCCCGUCUUGAAACACGGACCAAGGAGUCUAACAUAUAUGCGAGUCUUUGGGUGAGAAACCCGCAGGCGCAAUGAAAGUGAAGGCUAACAUGGUUAGCUGAGGUGAGAACCUUUGGUGCAUCAUCGACCGAUCUGAAUGGUUUCCUGAAAGAUUUGAGUAAGAGCACAUAUGUUGGGACCCGAAAGAUGGUGAACUAUGCCUGAAUAGGGUGAAGUCUGAAGAAAUUCAGAUGGAAGCUCGUAGCGAUUCUGACGUGCAAAUCGAUCGUCAAAUUUGGGUAUAGGGGCGAAAGACUAAUCGAACUAUCUAGUAGCUGGUUCCCUCCGAAGUUUCCCUCAGGAUAGCUGGAACUAUUACGCAGUUUUAUCAGGUAAAGCGAAUGAUUAGAGGACUCGGUGGCGCAAUGCUGUCGGCCUAUUCUCAAACUUUAAAUAGGUAAGAAGUCUGACCCGCUUAAUUGGGGCCAGACACUGAAUGCAAGUUCCAUGUGGGCCAUUUUUGGUAAGCAGAACUGGCGAUGCGGGAUGAACCGAACGUUAAGUUAAAGUGCCAAAGUACACGCUCACCUAGAACCCAGAAAAGGUGUUGGUAGAUGAAGACAGCAGGACGGUGGCCAUGGAAGUCGGAAUCCGCUAAGGAGUGUGUAACAACUCACCUGCCGAAUCUACUAGCCCUGAAAAUGGAUGGCGCUCAAGCGUGUCACUUAUACUUAACCGUCAGGGCAAAUGCGAAGCUUUGACGAGUAGGAGGGCGUGAUGAUUGUUUAGAAGCCUAGAGCGUAAGCUUGGGUGAAACGGUC